UCAGUUCGGAUUGAAGGCUGAAAUUCGCCUUCAUGAAGCUGGAAUUGCUAGUAAUGGCAGGUCAGCAUACUGCCGUGAAUACGUUCCCGGGCCUUGUACACACCGCCCGUCACACCAUGAGAGUUGGGAAUACCCGAAGCCUGUGAGCUAACUGUAAGGAGGCAGCAGUCGAAGGUAGAAUCAAUGAUUGGGGUGAAGUCGUAACAAGGUACC
This 213-nucleotide ribosomal RNA is filed under the name uncultured bacterium. RNAcentral's name for it is "partial 16S ribosomal RNA". It matches the Rfam family "Bacterial small subunit ribosomal RNA", at positions 1288 to 1500 of the family's 1533-position model. The record is from RNAcentral.